GAUGAAGAACGUAGCGAAAUGCGAUAAGUAAUGUGAAUUGCAGAAUUCAGUGAAUCAUCGAAUCUUUGAACGCACAUUGCGCCCGCCAGCACUCUGGCGGGCAUGCCUGUUCGAGCGUCAUUUCAACCAUCAAGCCCCAGGCUUGUGUUGGGGACCUGCGGCUGCCGCAGGCCCUGAAAACCAGUGGCGGGCUCGCUGUCACACCGGGCGUAGUAGAUUUUAUCUCGCUCAGGGCGUGCUGCGGGUUCCGGCCGUUAAAAAGCCUUUUUUACCCAAGGUUGACCUCGGAUCAGGUAGGAAUACCCGCUGAACUUAAGCAUAUCAAUAAGCGGAGGA
Molecule: unclassified non-coding RNA, 336 nt
Filed under: soil metagenome
Description: partial contains 5.8S ribosomal RNA, internal transcribed spacer 2, and large subunit ribosomal RNA
Rfam family: 5.8S ribosomal RNA (bases 1-120)
Source: RNAcentral